This is a long non-coding RNA of Sparus aurata (gilthead seabream), 1929 nucleotides long. The record is from Ensembl. NCBI's taxonomy places the organism in Eukaryota, Metazoa, Chordata, Actinopteri, Spariformes, Sparidae.
AUGACUUUAUAUCCUCAGGAGGAGGAGAGGAGGACUUUAUAUCAUCAGGAGGCGGAGAGGAGGACUUAUAUCAUCAGGAGGAGGAGAGGAGGACUUUAUAUCCUCAGGAGGAGGAGAGGAGGACUUUAUAUCAUCAGGAGGAGGAGAGGAGGACUUUAUAUCCUCAGGAGGAGGAGAGAAGGACUUUAUAUCAUCAGGAGGAGGAGAGGAGGACUUAUAUCAUCAGGAGGAGGAGAGGAGGACUUUAUAUCAUCAGGAGGAGGAGAGGAUGACUUUAUAUCCUCAGGAGGAGGAGAGGAGGACUUUAUAUCAUCAGGAGGAGGAGAGGAGGACUUUAUAUCAUCAGGAGGAGGAGAGGAUGACUUUAUAUCCUCAGGAGGAGGAGAGGAGGACUUUAUAUCAUCAGGAGGAGGAGAGGGAGGACUUUAUAUCAUCAGGAGGAGAGGAGGAGGACUUUAUAUCAUCAGGAGAGGAGGAGGAGAGGAGGACUUGAUAUCAUCAGGAGGAGGAGAGGAGGACUUUAUAUCAUCAGGAGGAGGAGAGGAGGACUUUAUAUCAUCAGGAGGAGGAGAGGAGGACUUAUAUCAUCAGGAGGAGGAGAGGAGGACUUUAUAUCAUCAGGAGGAGGAGAGGAGGACUUUAUAUCCUCAGGAGGAGGAGAGGAGGACUUUAUAUCCUCAGGAGGAGGAGAGGAGGACUUUAUAUCAUCAGGAGGAGGAGAGGAGGACUUUAUAUCAUCAGGAGGAGGAGAGGAGGACUUUAUAUCAUCAGGAGGAGGAGAGGAGGACUUUAUAUCAUCAGGAGGAGAGGAGGACUUUAUAUCAUCAGGAGGAGAGGAGGACUUUAUAUCAUCAGGAGGAGGAGAGGAGGACUUUAUAUCCUCAGGAGGAGGAGAGGAGGACUUUAUAUCAUCAGGAGGAGAGGAGGACUUUACAUCAUCAGGAGGAGGAGAGGAGGACUUUAUAUCAUCAGGAGGAGGAGAGGAGGACUUUAUAUCAUCAGGAGGAGGAGAGGAGGACUUUAUAUCCUCAGGAGGAGGAGAGGAGGACUUUAUAUCAUCAGGAGGAGGGAGGACUUUAUAUCAUCAGGAGGAGGAGAGGAAGACUUUAUAUCAUCAGGAGGAGGAGAGGAGGACUUUAUAUCAUCAGGAGGAGGAGAGGAGGACUUUAUAUCAUCAGGAGGAGGAGAGGAGGACUUUAUAUCCUCAGGAGGAGGAGAGGAGGACUUUAUAUCAUCAGGAGGAGGAGAGGAGGACUUUAUAUCAUCAGUAGGAAGGAGAGGAGGACUUUAUAUCAUCAGGAGGAGGAGAGGAGGACUUUAUAUCAUCAGGAGGAGGAGAGGAGGACUUUAUAUCAUCAGGAGGAGAGGAGGACUUUAUAUCAUCAGGAGGAGGAGAGGAAGUUAUAUCAUCAGGAGGAGGAGAGGAGGACUUAUAUCAUCAGGGAGGAGGAGAGGAGGACUUUAUAUCCUCAGGAGGAGGAGAGGAGGACUUUAUAUCCUCAGGAGGAGGAGAGGAGGGACUUUAUAUCAUCAGGAGGAGGAGAGGAGGACUUUAUAUCAUCAGGAGGAGGAGAGAGGAGGACUUUAUAUCAUCAGGAGGAGGAGAGGAGGACUUUAUAUCAUCAGGAGGAGGAGAGGAGGACUUUAUAUCCUCAGGAGGAGGAGAGGAGGACUUUAUAUCAUCAGGAGGAGGAGAGGAGGACUUUAUAUCAUCAGGAGGAGGAGAGGAGGACUUUAUAUCAUCAGGAGGAGGAGAGGAGGACUUUUAUAUCAUCAGGAGGAGGAGAGGAGGACUUUAUAUCCUCAGGAGGAGGAGAGGAGGACUUUAUAUCAUCAGGAGGAGGAGAGGAGGACUUUAUAUCAUCAGGAGGAGAGAGGAGGACUUUAUAUCAUCAGGAGGAGGAGAGGAGGACUUUAUAUCAUCAGUAG